This 287-nucleotide long non-coding RNA is filed under the name Mytilus galloprovincialis (Mediterranean mussel). Lineage: Eukaryota; Metazoa; Mollusca; Bivalvia; Mytilida; Mytilidae. The record is from RNAcentral.
UUCGACAUAUUAGGUAGAUUUUUCAUAUUUGAGCUUGAAUCGGAUCGUUUUUAAUGACUAAAUCUGUUAAAAUCUUUCACAUAAACUAAUUAAUUCAAAUAAAAUAGACACUUUUAAAAGUGUUUAAAAAGUGGUCAAAAUCUUUCGUCAGAUGAACCUGAAAUUUGAGGCCAAAAUCGGUCCUUACCGGACCUACUCCUUUAAGGAAGUAAUGAAUACGACAAAACAAUCAUAUUUAAGCUAUGUACAUUUAUAAGGCAUAUUAAUUCAUGUGUGUGUUCUCCUGG